Molecule: ribosomal RNA, 528 nt
Filed under: uncultured organism
Description: SSU rRNA
Rfam family: Eukaryotic small subunit ribosomal RNA
Source: RNAcentral
CUCUUUCUUGAUUUUGUGGGUGGUGGUGCAUGGCCGUUCUUAGUUGGUGGAGUGAUUUGUCUGCUUAAUUGCGAUAACGAACGAGACCUUAACCUACUAAAUAGUGCUGCUAGCUUUUGCUGGUAUAGUCACUUCUUAGAGGGACUAUCGAUUUCAAGUCGAUGGAAGUUUGAGGCAAUAACAGGUCUGUGAUGCCCUUAGACGUUCUGGGCCGCACGCGCGCUACACUGACGGAGCCAGCGAGUAUUAACCUUGGCCGAGAGGUCUGGGAAAUCUUGUGAAACUCCGUCGUGCUGGGGAUAGAGCAUUGUAAUUAUUGCUCUUCAACGAGGAAUUCCUAGUAAGCGCAAGUCAUCAGCUUGCGUUGAUUACGUCCCUGCCCUUUGUACACACCGCCCGUCGCUACUACCGAUUGAAUGGCUUAGUGAGGCCUCCGGAUUGGUUUAAAGAAGGGGGCAACUCCAUCUUGGAACCGAAAAGCUGGUCAAACUUGGUCAUUUAGAGGAAGUAAAAGUCGUAACAAGGUUU